CCUACGGGUGGCAGCAGUGAGGAAUAUUGGUCAAUGGACGAGAGUCUGAACCAGCCAAGUCGCGUGACGGAUGACUGCCCUAUGGGUUGUAAACUUCUUUUAUCAGGGACUAAAACUGGGCACGUGUGCCUGUUUGCGGGUACUUUAUGAAUAAGGAUCGGCUAACUCCGUGCCAGCAGCCGCCGUCAUACGGAGGAUCAGAGCGUUAUCCGGAUUUCUUGGGUUUAAAGGGUUCGUAGAUGGGUUUUUAAGUCAGUGGUGAAAGUUUGCGGCUAAACCGCAACAUUGCAAUUGAUACUGGCAGGCUUGAGUACAGUAGAGGUAAGCGGAAUGCGUGGUGUAGCGGUGAAAUGCUUAGAUAUCACGAAGAACCCCGAUUGCGAAGGCAGCUUACUAACCUGUGACUGACAUUGAGGCUCGAAAGUGUGGGUAUCAAACAGGAUUAGAUACCCGGGUAGUC
Molecule: ribosomal RNA, 460 nt
Filed under: uncultured bacterium
Lineage: Bacteria
Description: partial 16S ribosomal RNA
Rfam family: Bacterial small subunit ribosomal RNA
Source: RNAcentral